GUCGUAACAAGGUUUCCGUAGGUGAACCUGCGGAAGGAUCAUUACCGAUUUUAUAGUACCACUUUACUGUUGGGGUGUUAUAGUACCACUGUGAAUGCGUAAUGGACCGUGUGGGGUGACGCCGGUCGCAACGAUUGUCAGAGGUGGGUCAACGUCUCAAAUGCAGUCUCAGCGAUGCGAUGAGCUGCGGCCCCACACGAGUCGUCGUACUUUGCUCGGAAGUACUGUAGAGUGUCUUCCUGUCUUUAAUGUCACUUGGUAGCGGUGACUUGGAAAACGAAAUUGUGUUAUGGAACAACUUCUAACGGUGGAUCUCUUGGCUCGUGCAUCGAUGACGAACGCAGCCAGUUGCGAUAAGUAAUGUGAAUUGCAGAAUUCAGUGAAUCAUCGAAUCUUUGAACGCAAAUUGCGCUCUCUGGAUCCCCAGGGAGCAUGUCUGUCUGAGUGUCGCGAACAGAAACCACACACUUCGGGUGUGAACGUUUGGGUGCCUCGGGUUUUUAAGAGGUCUCGCUUUCGGGCGUGCCUCAGAGAGCCGUCACUCUGAGUCCUUGGUUAAGUUACCAGAAGCGCGCAGUUGUUGUAGUGCUGCGUACUCUGGAAGGCUCUAAGCUUUGGUUGAUGGUGGGCAAGACCCUUCUCAGAGUGCCACACGGACGGCACUGGUAAACGGCGGUGUUUAUAAUAUUGGGGCCUAGCAAAGCUGCGGCCAGGUUGGUUGGGUGUACGAAUCCUCCGAGUCUUUGACCUCAGAUCAGGCAAGACUACCCGCUGAACUUAAGCAUA
This 786-nucleotide ribosomal RNA is filed under the name Craspedacusta sinensis. RNAcentral describes it as "eukaryotic LSU rRNA". The stretch from base 297 to 450 matches the Rfam family "5.8S ribosomal RNA". The record is from RNAcentral. Lineage: Eukaryota; Metazoa; Cnidaria; Hydrozoa; Limnomedusae; Olindiidae.